AGAUGACAAGCAGCCACGAAAGUACGCCUCUUUUGGCAUCGACAAGGCUCUCAGAUGGAUCAUUUCGAUGUCAUGAUCAUAGAAACGGAGGAAGCCAAUCUGAAGAUGAGAAUGUUGUGAUGUGCCAGAUACCGCAGAAAAAAGCGAAAUACUUAACGUAAGAGAUUUCAGAUUUAUUUUUUAAACACAAACGUGCAGUUCCUAUUGAACAUCCUGAUCUCUGUCCUAUGCUGCAGCGAUUGAUUAUUCCUUUGCUUUAAGUUUCACGGAUUGACGCCGUUUUGUACUUAGGAAAGUUAGGAGCAUGAUUUGUAUUUUAGGAUAAAUAACAACACUGACAUAUUUUCAAUAAAUUUUAUGCUAAUGUCAAAGAUUAUGACGAUUUUUUCUCUAGAGACGUACAGGCAUUAAUGCAUCUUCUGAAAGCCAGUAUUGGAAUUGGCAUUCUGGGACUGCCAAAAGCCCUAAUGAAUGCAGGCAUUGUGGUAUGAGCCAAUUCUCUAAUAUAUCUUAAAAUAUCAUUAUAAGAAUUGAUGACGAAAUUUCGUGACGGUUCUGUCAGUAUCAGUAAAGUCGCAUAUAGAGAUAUCGUCCUGAGGCCGGUUGUAUAACUAUCAAAACCGCAUAUUUUAGAGUUAACUACUAUUUACUAACUACAAAAUAGUAUAAAUUUUUAGAUGUAUAAUUUGUAUUCCCAAUAAUAUAAAGCAUCUACUAAAUAAUUUUAUAAAUCGUUUGCUUCCGAUCUAUCUGAUUUACUAUAGCGAACUAUAGUACUUGCGUCAUAAUAUAGAUAUAUAGAUAAUGCAGCCUUAUGAAUUAUUGACCUUCUGCUUUGUUUUAAUUUUGCUGGCGGGCACAUUCCGAUUGUUCAAUGGAUGAGGCGGAAUUUUGGAGACACAUUCCCAAGACUAACGCUGAAAAAAUAUUUCAAUUUCUGUUUUUUUGUGUUGGUGUUGUGUACUCAGGUGAAUACGAUGUUUGUGAUGUUACUCUGAGUGUGUAUCCACACCGGGCAAGCUUGAAAAACAUGCCUGGCCACGGUGGGAAUCGAACCUACGACCUUUGGAAUACUAGCCCAAUGCUCAGCCAACUGAGCUACGCGGUCAGGUCGGUUCGAGUAUGCGAUAUUUCGGAACUGAGUCUAGUUCCUUCGACAUCAAUGCAAUCUAAUAAUCAUGAUUUUUUGUGCUGGUGUUGUGUACUCAGGUGAAUAUGAUGUUUGUGAUGUUACUCUGAGUGUGUAUCCACACCGAGCAAGCUUGAAAAUAUGCCUGGCCACGGUGGGAAUCGAACCUACGACCUUUGGAAUAAUAGCACAAUGCUCUGCCGCGUAGCUCAGUUGGCAGAGCAUUGGGCUAGUGUCCAAAGGUCGUAGGUUCGAUUCCCACCGUGGCCAGGUAUAUUUUUCAAGCUUGCCGCCCGGUGUGGAUACACACUCCGAUCAGAGUAACAUCACAAACAUCAUAUUCAACACAAAAAAUCAUGAUUAUUAGAUUACAUUGAUGUCGAAGGAACUAGACUUAGUUCCGAAAAUAUCACAUACUCGAACCGACCUGACCGCGUAGCUCAGUUGGCAGAGCAUUGGACUAGUAUUCCAAAGGUUGUAGGUUCGAUUCACACCGUGGCCAGGCAUAUUUUUCAAGCUGGCCCGGUGUGGAUUCACACUCAGAGUAACAUCACAAACAUCAUUUCAAUCGUCUGUUUAGAAUUGAAGUUCCGUAUUCCACAUCACGUUUUUAAAAAUCUUUAAUCCGCUAAGCAGGCAACUAAAAAGUCACAUUCCAUAAAAAAAAUUAAAGAAUUCCCCAUUUCAAAACUCCGCCUCAUCCCCCGCGAUAAUACAAAAGAUCACAUGUUUUCCAAUGUAUACAACAAUAACGACGUUCUCUUAGGAGAUUUCUAGAAACAGUUUCCUGCCAAGCGAGCUGAAACGCACAAAGGCAAGGAGUUGAAUAUGUUAACAAUAUUUUCAAAUUAUUUUUAAGAUUGGACCCUUGCUACUAGCGCUAAUCGCUGUCGUAACUGUUCACUGUGUACAUCUGCUGGUAAGCUGUUCAGAACGCCUUUGCAUCAA
This 2077-nucleotide transfer RNA is filed under the name Paramuricea clavata. The stretch from base 1559 to 1631 matches the Rfam family "tRNA". Lineage: Eukaryota; Metazoa; Cnidaria; Anthozoa; Malacalcyonacea; Plexauridae. The record is from RNAcentral.